UACGUAGGGUGCAAGCGUUGUCCGGAAUUAUUGGGCGUAAAGAGCUCGUAGGCGGUCUGUCGCGUCUGCUGUGAAAACUCGGGGCUUAACCCCGGGCCUGCAGUGGGUACGGGCAGACUAGAGUGCGGUAGGGGAGACUGGAAUUCCUGGUGUAGCGGUGAAAUGCGCAGAUAUCGGGAGGAACACCAGUGGCGAAGGCGGCGAUCUGGGAAGAUACUGACGCUGAGGUGCGAAAGCGUGGGGAGCAAACAGG
Molecule: ribosomal RNA, 253 nt
Filed under: uncultured bacterium
Lineage: Bacteria
Description: partial 16S ribosomal RNA
Rfam family: Bacterial small subunit ribosomal RNA
Source: RNAcentral